Molecule: ribosomal RNA, 432 nt
Filed under: uncultured bacterium
Lineage: Bacteria
Description: partial 16S ribosomal RNA
Rfam family: Bacterial small subunit ribosomal RNA
Source: RNAcentral
AACGAACGCUGGCGGCAUGCCUAAUACAUGCAAGUCGAACGAGACCUUCGGGUCUAGUGGCGCACGGGUGCGUAACGCGUGGGAACCUGCCCUUAGGUUCGGAAUAACUCCCCGAAAGGGGUGCUAAUACCGGAUAAUGUCUUCGGACCAAAGAUUUAUCGCCUUUGGUUGGGCCCUCGUUGGAUUAGCUAGUUGGUAGGGUAAAAGCCUACAAAGGCGGCGAUCCAUAACUGGUCUGAGAGGAUGAUCAGCCACACUGGGACUGAGACACGGCCCAGACUCCUACGGGAGGAAGCAGGGGGGAAUGGUGGACAAUGGGCGAAAGCCUGAUCCAGCAAUGCCGCGUGAGUGAUGAAGGCCGUAGGGUUGUAAAGCUCUUUUACCCGGGAUGAUAAUGACAGUACCGGGAGAAUAGGCACCGGCUAACUCCGA